This 254-nucleotide ribosomal RNA is filed under the name uncultured bacterium. Its description in RNAcentral is "partial 16S ribosomal RNA". It matches the Rfam family "Bacterial small subunit ribosomal RNA", at positions 524 to 777 of the family's 1533-position model. The record is from RNAcentral.
UACGUAGGGUGCGAGCGUUAAUCGGAAUUACUGGGCGUAAAGCGCGUGUAGGCUGCUUCAUAAGUCGGGUGUGAAAGCCCUGGGCUCAACCCAGGAAGUGCACUCGAAACUGUCAGGCUUGAAUAUGGAAGAGGGUCGCGGAAUUCCCGGUGUAGAGGUGAAAUUCGUAGAUAUCGGGAGGAACACCAGUGGCGAAGGCGGCGACCUGGGCCAAUAUUGACGCUGAGGUGCGAAAGCGUGGGGAGCAAACAGGG